Molecule: ribosomal RNA, 119 nt
Filed under: Arabis alpina (gray rockcress)
Lineage: Eukaryota; Viridiplantae; Streptophyta; Magnoliopsida; Brassicales; Brassicaceae
Description: rRNA ENSRNAG00050208207
Source: RNAcentral
GGGGUGCAACACGAGGACUUCCCAAGAGGUCACCCAUCCUAGUACUACUCUCGCCCAAGCACGCUUAACUUCGGAGUUCUGAUGGGAUCCGGUGCAUUAGUGCUGGUAUGAUCGCACCC